RNAcentral lists this unclassified non-coding RNA (545 nucleotides) under Bombus terrestris (buff-tailed bumblebee). RNAcentral's name for it is "misc RNA ENSBTSG00005038375.1". The record is from RNAcentral. Lineage: Eukaryota; Metazoa; Arthropoda; Insecta; Hymenoptera; Apidae.
UUCGUGUCGACCGUCUGGACGAUAACAUCGCGUUGUUGCGCGUCGAAAUUUCGGGAAUCUCAAUCGCGUAUUACAUAACUUUAUCUCGUUACAUUAUUUCGCCUAUUCCAUUCGUUAUUUCGUUUAAAUCGCGUGUGUAUUGGUAGUGAUUCCUUUAAUCGCGAAUAUUUGAGGAUUGACUAGAAAUCAUGAUCUAUCCAAGAGGGACCAAACUAUUAUUUUCACGCCGAUUCUUGAAGCAAUGGCCACAAUUACAUACGAUGCCUUCCUACGUUCGUCCUACCGUAUGCGGCCAUCAAACCACUACACAACGAUAUAUCAUACGCGUCAUGCGCGUGGGUAACACGCACUUCCUACGCGUGUCGUGCACAGCUUCCCACGUAUCUGGAUCGACGUUGAAAUUUUUCUGAAGAAGCUGAAAACCUUCUUGUUUGCUGAAAUGAGAGCACGAUUGGAGGAUAGAAAUUUAAAGGUUGUGGUCGUUACUAAUAUUAAAAGAUUGGAGUUACUAAAGGUUGGAGGUUACUAAAAGGAGUUACUAAAAG